GCAGCAGGCGCGCAAUUACCCACUCCCGGCACGGGGAGGUAGUGACGAAAAAUAACGAUACGGGACUCAUCCGAGGCCCCGUAAUCGGAAUGAGUAUACUCUAAAUCCUUAUACGAGUAUCAAUUGGAGGGCAAGUCUGGUGCCAGCAGCCGCGGUAAUUCCAGCUCCAAUAGCGUAUAUUAAAGUUGUUGCGGUUAAAAAGCUCGUAGUUGGAUCUGUGUCCCGCACCGCCGGUUCACCGCCUGUCGGUGUUCAACCGGCGUGUACGUGGGACGUCCUGCCGGUGGUGGUCCGGUACCCCGUCGGCACGUAKGGGCCGUCCUGCUCUGCAUGCGUCGACCCCKAAGGCCUUCGCGGGCUUCCGGCCRCCYUUCRAUYCCRYCKCGRWGCUCUUUACCGAGUGUCGAGGCGGGCCGGCACGUUUACUUUGAACAAAUUAGAGUGCUUUAAGCAGGCCCUGUCACGCCUGUAUGUUGUGUGCAUGGAAUAAUGGAAUAGGACCUCGGUUCUAUUUUGUUGGUUUUCGGAAUCUGAGGUAAUGAUCAAUGGGGACAGGCGGGGGCAUUCGUAUUGCGACGUUAGAGGUGAAAUUCUUGGAUCGUCGCAAGACGGACCGAAGCGAAAGCAUUUGCCAAGUAUGUUCUCGUCGAUCAAGAACGAAAGUUAGAGGUUCGAAGGCGAUCAGAUACCGCCCUAGUUCUAACCAUAAACUAUGCCUGCCAGCGAUCCGCCGAAGUUCCUCCGAUGACUCGGCGGGCAGCUUCCGGGAAACCAGAGCUUUUGGGUUCCGGGGGAAGUAUGGUUGCAAAGCUGAAACUUAAAGGAAUUGACGGAAGGGCACCACCAGGAGUGGAGCCUGCGGCUUAAUUUGACUCAACACGGGAAAACUCACCAGGCCCGGACACCGGAAGGAUUGACAGAUUGAGAGCUCUUUCUUGAUUCGGUGGGUGGUGGUGCAUGGCCGUUCUUAGUUGGUGGAGCGAUUUGUCUGGUUAAUUCCGAUAACGAACGAGACUCUAGCCUACUAACUAGGCGUACCCGGUAUCCACAAUCGUGCUACCGGCGAUCAAAUUUCUUCUUAGAGGGACAGGCGGCUUCUAGCCGCACGAGACUGAGCAAUAACAGGUCUGUGAUGCCCUUAGAUGUCCUGGGCCGCACGCGCGCUACACUGAAGGAAUCAGCGUGUCUUCCCUGUCCGAAAGGACCGGGUAACCCGCUGAACCUCCUUUGUGCUAGGGAUUGGGGCUUGCAAUUGUUCCCCAUGAACGAGGAAUUCCCAGUAAGCGCGAGUCAUAAGCUCGCGUUGAUUACGUCCCUGCCCUUUGUACACACCGCCCGUCGCUACUACCGAUUGAAUGAUUUAGUGAGGUCUUCGGACUGGUGCGCGGGGCCGCUCCCGCGGUCCCCGAUGUUGCCGGAAAGAUGACCAAACUUGAUCAUUUAGAGGAAGUAAAAGUCGUAACAAGGUUUCC
This 1472-nucleotide ribosomal RNA is filed under the name Euroxenus vayssieresi. RNAcentral describes it as "SSU rRNA". Lineage: Eukaryota; Metazoa; Arthropoda; Insecta; Hemiptera; Issidae. The record is from RNAcentral.